RNAcentral lists this ribosomal RNA (442 nucleotides) under uncultured prokaryote. RNAcentral's name for it is "bacterial SSU rRNA". It matches the Rfam family "Bacterial small subunit ribosomal RNA", at positions 355 to 796 of the family's 1533-position model. The record is from RNAcentral.
UCGAGAAUCUUCGGCAAUGGACGAAAGUCUGACCGAGCGACGCCGCGUGCGGGAUGAAGGCCCUCGGGUUGUAAACCGCUGUCAGUUGGGAGGAAGGGAGUAUGAAGAAUGCUUCUUGACCGAUCUUCAGAGGAAGGACGGGCUAAGUUCGUGCCAGCAGCCGCGGUAAGACGAACCGUCCAAACGUUAUUCGGUAUCACUGGGCUUAAAGCGUGCGUAGGCGGCCUGGAAGGUGUGAUGUGAAAUCCCACAGCUCAACUGUGGAACUGCAUUGCAAACCACCAGGCUUGAGGAAGACAGGGGUGUUGGGAACUUAUGGUGGAGCGGUGAAAUGCGUUGAUAUCAUAGGGAACACCGGUGGCGAAGGCGCAACACUGGGUCUUUUCUGACGCUGAGGCACGAAAGCUAGGGUAGCGAACGGGAUUAGAUACCCCCGUAGUCC